This 446-nucleotide ribosomal RNA is filed under the name uncultured bacterium. RNAcentral's name for it is "partial 16S ribosomal RNA". It matches the Rfam family "Bacterial small subunit ribosomal RNA", at positions 338 to 795 of the family's 1533-position model. The record is from RNAcentral.
CCUACGGGAGGCAGCAGUCGAGAAUCAUUCACAAUGGGGGAAACCCUGAUGGUGCGACGCCGCGUGGGGGAAUGAAGGUCUUCGGAUUGUAAACCCCUGUCGUGGGGGAGCAAAUUAAAAAGAUAGUAGCACAAGAGGAAAAGAGGGGUAACACUGUGCCAGAAGCCGCUGUAAUACCGAGGUCUCAAGCGUUGUACGGAAUCAAUGGGCGUAAAGCGUGCGUAGGCUGGUUCGUAAGGCGUGUGUGAAAGGCGCGGGCCAAACCCGCGUCCGGCACAUGAUACUGCGAGACUAGAGUGAGGGAGGGGGAACCGGAAUGCUCGGUGUAGCAGUGAAAUGCGUAGAUAUCGAGAGGAACACUCGUGGCGAAGGCGGGUUCCUGGACAUUAACUGACGCUGAGGCACGAAGGCCAGGGGAGCGAAAGGGAUUAGAUACCCGAGUAGUC